CCUGAGAGGUGUGUGUUCUAUAUGAGGAGGAAACCGGGAGAGGGCCACUUAAAUCAUUUCUACCAGUUUCAAUUGGUUUGCUUUGAAUGAUUAAUAAAUCUCCUGAUGGGCCUAAGCUUCUGGAGAAUGGCCCGGACGAUUCUCCAGCGGCGGCAGAAUGGGAAGCUGCGGAUCAACUGGCUUUGGGUAAUCUGCUAGGGCUCUGGCCGAACGCUUUUCAUCUGAUUUGUGCCUGUCAACUCGAUUGAGUGUUGUCGCAGCCCGAAGAAAUGAACUCGAGCUAUAUGUCAAGUGUGCAAGCCGUACUCUUUGAUACUCUGUCAAGGAAGUGGCUCGUUUCAUCCGAUUCCAUUCUUUGUUUGGAUUGGUCUGGUGCAGACACGAACAUUAACAUCCACAUAGCUACAGCAUUUUCCCACUUAAUUGCAACGAGAAGUGCAGAAAUAGCUGGCGAUGACGAGGGAAAUGGAAAUUCCGGGGAUUCAUUGGAGUGUUGGGCGUGCUGGGGAUCGAAAUCGGGAUCAGUUCGAUCCGUCUGUCCAACUGCAAUCCAUCUGCCUGACGAUCUCUAUUUUGGUUACCCAUCCUGGCAUUUCAAAGAUUGUUUUUCAAUUGAUCAAUUAGUAGAUGUCUUGAUUUUUUACACUCUUCGGGGAAAAUAUUUACUUAUUUAAUUUCUUUCUUUGCAAUACCAA
Molecule: non-coding RNA, 695 nt
Organism: Drosophila suzukii
Lineage: Eukaryota; Metazoa; Arthropoda; Insecta; Diptera; Drosophilidae
Source: RefSeq, a predicted model, not a curated record